This 34-nucleotide transfer RNA is filed under the name Rangifer tarandus (reindeer). RNAcentral describes it as "partial tRNA-Pro". Lineage: Eukaryota; Metazoa; Chordata; Mammalia; Artiodactyla; Cervidae. The record is from RNAcentral.
GCCAGGGAAUAGUUUAAUUAGAACUUCAGCUUUG